Prinia subflava (tawny-flanked prinia) is the source of this 3478-nucleotide long non-coding RNA. RefSeq lists it as uncharacterized. The record is from RefSeq and is a predicted model, not a curated record. The transcript is spliced from 4 exons. NCBI's taxonomy places the organism in Eukaryota, Metazoa, Chordata, Aves, Passeriformes, Cisticolidae.
GAGGAAAUCUGUUGGUUAUGUUUCUGUGGUUCCACACUGCUGUUUGCAUCAUGCCUUCGCUUUUCCAUCAGCAGGGAAGGUCUCAACAAAUUCUCUCCGUUUAUGGAAACAGCGUCUUUGAAUCCUGCAGAAACUGAGUGGCUUCUUGCUGUGGAAUAGAAUAUGGAAGGUACUGAAAGCUGCCUGUGGUGGGAUAUGGCUGAGAUCCCUGUACACACAUACAGGAAGGGUUGCUUCUCCUGUAAGGGUGCUUUACCUAGCCCACUAUCCACUAUGCACAUAAAACUUGAAAAUUCAUGUGUCAUAAAGUUACACCAAGGCUACUGGUUGCUAUGUCCCAGAGCUGAGAAGAAGUAUCCAAGAUAACUAAAACCAAGCAGAUUAGUACUUGAACACAGUCAAUUACUUGCUUUCUCAAUUCUUCCAGGAAGAAUUCUAUAAGAAAUUUCACAGCUACUGCAGUUGGGAAAGAGGUCUCUGAUUUCCCCAUGUAUCCCCAUCAGCACUCGCCUCAGAUUAGUUUUCCUUCUCAUAGUCUGUCAGCAGCCUUGAGAUCAAGGAGAUUAAAACACUGUGGAAACUCUUCAAUGAUCCAGGACUCUCUGCAACAGCUGGACCAAAAAUGGACUGCAUUUGGCUGCAUCUUAAUUCUCUGCCAUCUCCCCUCUGCUCACCAACACCUGCACGCAUUUGGGAUGCUGUAUAAGACCCCUGAAUGCAGCUCUAAGCAACCAGUCUGCAAUGCACAUGUCUGAUGCUCUGCUGGUGUGGAACCAGUAUGCUGGUAAUCCUGUUAGUAAUGGCAGAAGCUCUCUCUAGGAAAUUAUAACAAAUAGUCUUAAACAAUUCCUUUUGUUGACAACUCUAUCCAAGAAACCAUCUUCCCUGGAGACUUCACUCAACUUUUUACUAAUCCCCUCCUUCCCUCAGGAGCUCUUUUGUUGAAGGAGAUUGUAGGCAUACCCCAGGAAUGACAGGUCUCUGUAAGCCUUGGAGGAGACUCUACAUUCUUUCAAUUGUCAGUCCCCAUCUGUCCUGUUUGUACAUCGAUCUUCUGGUCCAGGGAACUCUCUAUUAAGUGACACAUGGCUGAGUAUAUUCUGCAAGUCCAGUGUCCAGACUGUGCCGUUACAUCUUCGUUGCCAAGUCAAUCCUUCUGACAUUGCUUUCUGAAAAACAAAAGGCAGGACAUCUGCACAAUUUCAUUCUCUUCUACUGAAAGGUGACUUUUAAAAACACACACCCCACCCCUCAAACUGUGUCCUUGUUUUAUAAUCUCAAAGAUUUUUCUCCAUUUUUUCAACAUAAGGAGUUAUUUCAAAGGUCCUUGGUGUAAGGGAGGGAACAAUCUGCCCCUAUGGCAGAGGAAUUCUAUUAGGGUAAAAAUCCAUGGCCUAAGUCCUGAAUCAAAAAGAAAAAUAAAUCCCAGUUAUAAAUAUUCUGCAGAGCUAGGGCCUUCAGUCACUCUGCUUGUUAAAAGUUGGUUUAAAUCAGGCUCUUCUCUUCCUCAAGAUUCAACUACCCUUAGCUGGUACAGUAUCACAUACAUGUAGGAGGCACAGCAUUAUCUGAAUAUUUAUUUUGAGAUCCAGAAUGAGACAGUAGCAGAUUCCAAUGACCCAUAUGUUCCUCCUCAGCAGGUAGAGGGAAAUUGGUGGGUGGAAUAGGGUAGAAUAUGGGUGGAGUGUUGGCAUGGAGUAUAUAUCACCCUGGGACAGACGACUGACAGUACCUCAUCUUUUCCUGAAACCAGAAGGAGAACAAGGAGGAGUCUGUGGUGAUGUUUUGUCCCUUACUGUUUUGCUCUGAGCCCAUGGAUUCAAGAUGGAGCCUGGUAUGUUUAGUUUUUUGGUUUUGUCUAUUUUUGGAACUUAAGUUGGCAAAUGAAGGAAGGCUGGCCAGUUUCAUUAUGUUCCCAGGAAAUUCCAUUCUCUCAUGUGCCAGCAUGAGGCUGUUGUGCUUUAGAUGCCUAUCUACCUCUCAUUAGAUUUGAAAAAGCAUACAGAACCCCAUGCUUUCCAUUGGUAGCCUAUUAAAAUGACAAAAAAAUUACUGUUUCAUUUAUAGCCUUGCUUGCAUGUCUGUAUCCAGAUGCCUUUUUUAAAAAGAGAAUUAAUAAUAUGAACACCAUCACAUAAAGAAUGUUUUCCAGCAAUGAACUGCAUGAGAAAACUUGACUUGACAUUUAACCUUGUUUAGUAUGUUUUGUAAGCAGCUAAAAUAAAGGGACACAAUCAUUUUGAGACCAGGUUAACAUAUAGAAAAAUGUUUAAGAGUUUCUCCUACUAGUUGCAAGUUUUCACUAUUUUAAAUGAUAUAUUAGUGAAAUGCUCUCGAAAUUUAAAAUGGGCCAAAUCCAAGUUCAUUGACCACUGAUGCAUGAGUGCCCUCCUCAAGUGAGUUGUCCCAGAAGCCUUAGUGGAACUGACAGCCAGCUUUUCUGGCAGGAUUAGCUCCUCUGAUCACAGAGAGGGCACAGCCGUCCUGUCUGCACUCAGCUGAGCAGGUGAGCAGGGGAGGUAUUCAGGCUGCUUCCAAAACCCCAUCUGGUCACAGCGCCGCCAAUGUAGAUCUUUCUUUAAAGGAUUCCAGGCCUCUCUGCCUGCUGCUGUCUACAUGAAGGGGUAGAGAGAGGCUGUGAGACUAGGCUCUGAUGCUGGGACCUGAUCCUAUAGCAGGUACACGCCAUCCACAUGCAUCUGAAAGCACAGAUGGGUAGCUGAGGUGUAUCCUGCUAUCCUAAGGUUGCCUCUUAGCUUGGCAGACAAUAGGACAGUCAAACUGAUUUGGCCUCAGAAUCAGUUUCCAGGUCUGCCCUGCAUGCACAGACCCGGCGGUGACACUGACAGAACACACGCUGCUAACAAAUGCACAAAGUAAACAAAGAGACAGGAUAUAAUAAAAGGAUAUUUUCUGGUAAUUUCUUUCAAUAACAGUGAUUUUAAGUGAGCUUUUGGUCUUCUGUAACAAAAAGAUGAAAAAUAUUUAUGCAGAAGCAUUAUUUUGAAGUGUGACAAUAAAGCAGUGAUUAAUUAAAACCAAGGAUAUUACAAGAUAAGGAGAUUUUGUCUAGCUCUGCUCAGAUUCCAGUGUGUGUGAAAUCAAAACAAGUAAGCUAUGAAAUGUGAACUCAGUAGGCAAGGACAAAGGAGAACAAAGCAAUUUGGUCAGUUUAAGCAAUGGGGAAAUGAAGCAAUACUUUGACUGGGGAGGCAUUGGAGGAAAGGGCACUGGUCUGAGACUUGGCAAUAUGACAAAACAAAUCCAAACCUCCCAUGAUACCACUGAACAUUGUUCACUGGGAGCCACUGGCUUGCUGAUCUCUUCUCUCUAAAUGUGAGAUUUCCCACACUGGAAUGUGGUCAUCCAGCCCUGAGUAUCAGAUCUAUUUUCCCACCUUCAAUACGUGUAGGAAUUCAUGUGCUAAGGGUGAUGGCAGCAGCUUUGACAACGGCAACUGCACACUUACCCAAGAAUU